UCGGCCGGGCGCGCUAGUGGUGCGGUUGGUGUCGAGCCGGUGGGUCGUGGCGUGCUCCCCGUGCUGAGCUGACGCCUGUGAACGGGAGAGGAGCUGACCAGUGGUGUCGGCGGAGAUACUAUGUGCUGUGCGGGACCGGCGGUAGUGGACAGUGACCCCAGCGCCGGACGACGCACGCCCUAAUGAGGUGUAACGCGACAACGCCCCAUGAACAUAUCUAAGCUUGGGCCACAACUCGUUUUAGUUGCAACUCUUCUGAUGAUGUUACUCACCGUCGGGUGCUCGGCGAUGCCCUCCAUUCCCGACGAUCACAACCGAGCGUGUCGAAAGGCGUCGUGCACGUACGCCCACCUGUUCGUGCCACGACGCUGCAAGUACGACAGCCUCGUCUCAGUCUACCGAAAUGGCACGGUGGACGCCAGCUCGCGCGAGAAAACCCAAAACAAUCUACUGCGGUUCCAGACCGAUAUCAGCCAAACGGAAACUCAGGAGCAGGGAAAGCUCUUCAUUCACAUCUACAACCAGAGGGCGAAGAGGUACAUCUGCUUCUCGCGCUCCGGCAGAGUAAAGACCCGGAAGCGGUUGCCGCCGAGCGGCCGGGGUCGGCACAGUCGGCUGACGUGCCGAUUCGUGGAGCAAAUGCCCAGAGACGAGAGCGGCCACCUGUACACCAUGUACGUGGCCGACGAGCCGCGCCGGCCCAGCAGGCGGGAGCGCGUCAUUGCCUUCUGCAGCGGCGGCCAGGCCAGCCUGCUCAGGCUGCCGUCCGCGCACCGCAUGGCCAGGAGACGUCUGCGACAGUGUGACGCGCGCCGGCUGGCCGGCAGGCGCGCCGCGCGGCGGCGACACCGGCAGAAGCGCGCCGCCGCCAACCGGCAGCGCCGGCGGCGUCGGCAGCGUCGGCAGCGACGCGCCCAGUGCCAGUUCGUGUUUAUGAAGCAGCCGGUGUCGUCGUACCGGGACGCCGUGCGCGCACUCUGACUGCCAGCCGCGCCCAAGCGCGCCGUGCCACGUACAAAGGGUGAUAGGCGGCCAGGACUUGUGGCGGCCAUUGUUAUGUGACUGCGUGAUGCGCGGUGCCAUGUGUUUGUAUGUGAAUGUGCGUGCGGCGCACCAGUGCGUGUGUGUCUGUGCGUGCGCGUGCCAUCGUUGUUUCACUCAUUUGCUCUGUUUUGCUCAAAGCCAUCCGAUGUUUGUCCCAGCGCAGUGGCGGACCAGCUCGUUAAUAAUCAUUACACGUCAUAGUAGACUAUCGCACUCGUCGGCUUUGCGCUUCAAUGGACUCUUAAUUUCAUUACUUCCCGCCAGGAACGGCGGCUGGUUGAAUUUUGGCGCGACGGAGCGGUGAAUUUGGCGCGCCCAGGCCAGGUGCCGGCGGGAAUCAAUUUCCACCUCUCGACUGCGACGCCCGUCAAAACAAAACCAAAUUAGCCGGCUUCCGCACGGCGCGUCAGCUCUCCGUGCCAGAUGGACGGGUUUAAUUAGCGAAAACAGGGCCCAACUGCGCGGCGCGCGCGCUCGACCGCCGCCUGCCGGACCCCUAUCACCGGCCAUCUCCCGGCGGCCGCCGCGCCGCGCUGUUAAUAGCCGAUUAACGCGCGCGCCCGCGACACCAGGACGGCGCGCAUCGUCCGUAACAGCUCCAUCGGCAGCGGGGCGCGCCCGUCGCCACCGGCUGAGCGUGCGCCGCCGUCAGAGCGGCCCGUGCGCGCCGGCGGCCGCCGGUCUGUCGUGCCGCGCCCCGCCCCGCGCCGUAAUGUCAGGGUGUCGGUGGUGUAAUCGCCACUGCGCCGGACACCGGCGCGGCGCCCGGCAUCAUUAUAAAUGACCGCCACUUCCUCCGGUAAACAGGGCUGCGGCAGCGGUCCACCGGCCCUGCCCGCACCCGCCUUCCUGCCGCUCGCUGACGUAUCAAUUCACACGCUCCGCGCCGCCCUGGUUCCCGGCUGUCCGCCGCUCAAAAUCCCGUCAUCGCUCUCUCAGACAUACCGCCCGACUGCCUUACUCGCGCCGGCAGGGAGCCGCGCGCUGGCCGUCGGUGCACGCGCCGCAGCGCGCUGGGCCGUACCCGCGCCGCCGGCGUGUCGUCGGCGCUGUGUCGCUGGCUCCGAAUGGAAUCUCCCACCGUUUAUGCACGGUGCUGUUGAUGUGCGUACUGCCCCGGCAGUCCGGGCGACCCGGGGUCCGGGCCCGCCGCGCGCGCCACGCCGAGGCGACUCGCCAGCCUCUCGGCUUUUAGGGUUGGCGUUUUUACGCUAAAUUGCGCGAUAUUUUAUGGGUGGAGGUGGUGGUGUGGUGGCUGUGACGCCGCCGCCGCCGCCGCCACCGCCAUCACUGCUCUCCUCCGCGAGCACAUAAUCAGUAUUUAUUUCUGCUCUCGCAGAGUUGUGUUGUAAGGGUCACUGCACGCCGACACUUCCAUUCAACACGCCGACACUUCCCAUCCAACAUUCCUUGUCUAAAUAUUGCGAAGAUAAAAUGUGGCGUACUAGUCAGUUUGUGUGUUGUUGGGAGUACCUCUCCAUUUACGAACAAGGAUGUGUAUCUGAUUGUAAAUAGUUUUUUUAGUCAUUUUUGUAGAUGGAUGUUUCAUUAUUACUUCUGUAAUAUAUUUUGGCACUAACAAUGUAAAAUAAAAUAAAUCAUGUCAGCGUGUA
This 2657-nucleotide unclassified non-coding RNA is filed under the name Amphibalanus amphitrite. RNAcentral describes it as "uncharacterized LOC122393912, transcript variant X4". The record is from RNAcentral. Lineage: Eukaryota; Metazoa; Arthropoda; Thecostraca; Balanomorpha; Balanidae.